RNAcentral lists this ribosomal RNA (2902 nucleotides) under Dokdonella koreensis DS-123. RNAcentral's name for it is "bacterial LSU rRNA". It matches the Rfam family "Bacterial large subunit ribosomal RNA". The record is from RNAcentral. Lineage: Bacteria; Pseudomonadati; Pseudomonadota; Gammaproteobacteria; Lysobacterales; Rhodanobacteraceae.
GGUCAAGCGACAAAGCGCAUACGGUGGAUGCCUUGGCGGUCAGAGGCGAUGAAGGACGUGGCAGCCUGCGAAAAGCUCCGGGGAGCUGGCAACAAGCAUUGAUCCGGGGAUGUCCGAAUGGGGAAACCCACUCCGCGAGGAGUAUCCAGAUCUGAAUACAUAGGGUCUGGAAGCGAACCCAGGGAACUGAAAUAUCUCAGUACCUGGAGGAAAAGAAAUCAACCGAGAUUCCCUCAGUAGCGACGAGCGAACGGGGAACAGCCCAAAAGUGGUGCAAGUUCUAGUGGAGCGGUCUGGAAAGGCCGGCCAUAGACGGUGAUAGCCCGGUACACGAAAGGGCUUGUGCCAUGAAAGUGAGUAGGGCGGGGCACGUGAAACCCUGUCUGAACAUGGGGGGACCAUCCUCCAAGGCUAAAUACUCCUGACCGACCGAUAGUGAACCAGUACCGUGAGGGAAAGGCGAAAAGAACCCCGGAGAGGGGAGUGAAAUAGAUCCUGAAACCGUAUGCGUACAAGCAGUGGAAGCCCCUUCGUGGGGUGACUGCGUACCUUUUGUAUAAUGGGUCAGCGACUUACAGUUUGUGGCGAGCUUAACCGUAUAGGGGAGGCGAAGGGAAACCGAGUCUGAAUAGGGCGCAUAGUCGCAGGCUGUAGACCCGAAACCGGGUGAUCUAGUCAUGCCCAGGGUGAAGGUCCGGUAACACGGACUGGAGGCCCGAACCCACUCCCGUUGCAAAGGUAGGGGAUGAGGUGUGAUUAGGAGUGAAAAGCUAAUCGAACCCGGAGAUAGCUGGUUCUCCUCGAAAGCUAUUUAGGUAGCGCCUCAAGUAUCACUGUUGGGGGUAGAGCACUGUUAUGGCUAGCGGGUCAUUGAGACUUAGCAAACCAUUGCAAACUCCGAAUACCAACACGUGCAAGCUUGGGAGACACACGGCGGGUGCUAACGUCCGUCGUGAAAAGGGAAACAACCCAGACCCGCAGCUAAGGUCCCAAAAUCAUGGCUCAGUGGUGAACGAUGUGGGAAGGCAUAGACAGCCAGGAGGUUGGCUUAGAAGCAGCCAUCCUUUAAAGAAAGCGUAAUAGCUCACUGGUCGAGUCGGCCUGCGCGGAAGAUUUAACGGGGCUAAGCCAUGUACCGAAGCUCGGGGUUCACACCUUUGGUGUGAGCGGUAGAGGAGCGUUCCGUACGCCUGUGAAGGUGAGUCGUAAGGCUUGCUGGAGGUAUCGGAAGUGCGAAUGCUGACAUGAGUAACGAUAAGGGGGGUGAAAAGCCCCCCCGCCGAAAGCCCAAGGUUUCCUCGCGCAACGUUAAUCGGCGCAGGGUGAGUCGGCCCCUAAGGCGAGGCGGAAACGCGUAGUCGAUGGGAAGCGGGUUAAUAUUCCCGCACCGCUCGUGAUUGCGAUGGAGUGACGGAGAAGGCUAGGUGUACCGGGCGUUGGUUGUCCCGGGGAAAGGCGGUAGGUGUGGAUCUUAGGCAAAUCCGGGAUCCUCUACACCGAGCACCGAGACGAGUCCUUAUCAGGACGAAGUCACUGAGGCCACGCUUCCAGGAAAAACUUCUAAGCUUCAGAUCACGAGGACCGUACCGUAAACCGACACAGGUAGGCAGGGUGAGAAUCCCAAGGCGCUUGAGAGAACUCGGGUGAAGGAACUAGGCAACAUAGCACCGUAACUUCGGGAGAAGGUGCGCCCUUGAUCGUGGCUCCGUGCGGAGCUGAGCGAUCGGGGGCCGCAGUGACCAGGCCGCUGCGACUGUUUAUCAAAAACACAGCACUCUGCAAACACGAAAGUGGACGUAUAGGGUGUGACGCCUGCCCGGUGCCGGAAGGUUAAUUGAUGGGGUCAGCCGCAAGGCGAAGCUCUUGAUCGAAGCCCCGGUAAACGGCGGCCGUAACUAUAACGGUCCUAAGGUAGCGAAAUUCCUUGUCGGGUAAGUUCCGACCUGCACGAAUGGCGUAACGAUGGCGGCGCUGUCUCCACCCGAGACUCAGUGAAAUUGAAAUCGCUGUGAAGAUGCAGCGUUCCCGCGGCAAGACGGAAAGACCCCGUGAACCUUUACUAUAGCUUCACGCUGAACGUUGAGUUCGUCUGUGUAGGAUAGGUGGGAGGCGUUGAAACCAGGGCGCUAGUUCUGGUGGAGCCAUCCUUGAAAUACCACCCUGAUGUGCUUGACGUUCUAACCUAGGCCCGUAAUCCGGGUCGGGGACCGCGUGUGGUGGGUAGUUUGACUGGGGCGGUCUCCUCCCAAAGUGUAACGGAGGAGCACGAAGGUGCGCUCAGCGCGGUCGGACAUCGCGCAGUGUGUGUAAGAGCAAAAGCGCGCUUGACUGCGAGAUCGACGGAUCAAGCAGGUGCGAAAGCAGGUUCUAGUGAUCCGGUGGUUCUGUAUGGAAGGGCCAUCGCUCAACGGAUAAAAGGUACUCCGGGGAUAACAGGCUGAUUCCGCCCAAGAGUUCAUAUCGACGGCGGAGUUUGGCACCUCGAUGUCGGCUCAUCACAUCCUGGGGCUGUAGCCGGUCCCAAGGGUAUGGCUGUUCGCCAUUUAAAGUGGUACGCGAGCUGGGUUCAGAACGUCGUGAGACAGUUCGGUCCCUAUCUGUCGUGGGCGUUGGAGAUUUGAGAGGGGCUGCUCCUAGUACGAGAGGACCGGAGUGGACGAUCCCCUGGUGUUCCGGUUGUCACGCCAGUGGCACAGCCGGGUAGCUACGAUCGGAAGCGAUAACCGCUGAAAGCAUCUAAGCGGGAAGCGCGCCUCAAGAUGAGAUCUCCCGGGGCCUUGAGCCCCCUGAAGGACCCAUGAAGACUACAUGGUUGAUAGGUCGGGUGUGUAUAGCAGCAAUGCCGAGCUAACCGAUACUAAUGAUCCGUGCGGCUUGAUCAUAUAACUCCAAGACGCUUCCA